UACGUAGGGGGCAAGCGUUGUCCGGAAUCAUUGGGCGUAAAGAGCGUGUAGGCGGCCCGAUAAGUCCGCUGUGAAAGUCCAGGGCUCAACCCGGGAACUGCGUCCGAUACUGGCAGGCUUGAAUCCGGGAGAGGGAUGCGGAAUUCCAGGUGUAGCGGUGAAAUGCGUAGAUAUCUGGAGGAACACCGGUGGCGAAGGCGGCAUCCUGGACCGGCAUUGACGCUGAGGCGCGAAAGCCAGGGGAGUAAACGGG
Molecule: ribosomal RNA, 253 nt
Filed under: uncultured bacterium
Lineage: Bacteria
Description: partial 16S ribosomal RNA
Rfam family: Bacterial small subunit ribosomal RNA
Source: RNAcentral